Molecule: non-coding RNA, 74 nt
Organism: Nycticebus coucang (slow loris)
Lineage: Eukaryota; Metazoa; Chordata; Mammalia; Primates; Lorisidae
Source: the annotation of a RefSeq genome assembly
GCUCCAGUGGCGCAAUCGGGUAGCGCAUGGUACUGAUGAUACCGAGGUUGUGAGUUCGAGUCUCAUCUGGAGCA